CGAGAGGACCGGAGUGGACGCAUCACUGGUGUUCGGGUUGUCAUGCCAAUGGCACUGCCCGGUAGCUAAAUGCGGAAGAGAUAAGUGCUGAAAGCAUCUAAGCACGAAACUUGCCCCGAGAUGAGUUCUCCCUGAGACUAUAAGUCUCCUGAAGGAACGUUGAAGACGACGACGUUGAUAGGCCGGGUGUGUAAGCGCAGCGAUGCGUUGAGCUAACCGGUACUAAUGAACCGUGAGGCUUAACCUUACAACGCCGAAG
Molecule: ribosomal RNA, 259 nt
Filed under: Klebsiella pneumoniae subsp. pneumoniae
Lineage: Bacteria; Pseudomonadati; Pseudomonadota; Gammaproteobacteria; Enterobacterales; Enterobacteriaceae
Description: partial 23S ribosomal RNA
Rfam family: Bacterial large subunit ribosomal RNA
Source: RNAcentral